GAUUGAACGCUGGCGGCAGGCCUAACACAUGCAAGUCGAGCGGAUGAAGUGAGCUUGCUCACGGAUUCAGCGGCGGACGGGUGAGUAAUGCCUAGGAAUCUGCCUGGUAGUGGGGGAUAACGUUUCGAAAGGAGCGCUAAUACCGCAUACGUCCUACGGGAGAAAGCAGGGGACCUUCGGGCCUUGCGCUAUCAGAUGAGCCUAGGUCGGAUUAGCUAGUUGGUGAGGUAAUGGCUCACCAAGGCUACGAUCCGUAACUGGUCUGAGAGGAUGAUCAGUCACACUGGAACUGAGACACGGUCCAGACUCCUACGGGAGGCAGCAGUGGGGAAUAUUGGACAAUGGGCGAAAGCCUGAUCCAGCCAUGCCGCGUGUGUGAAGAAGGUCUUCGGAUUGUAAAGCACUUUAAGUUGGGAGGAAGGGCAGUAAGCUAAUAUCUUGCUGUUUUGACGUUACCGACAGAAUAAGCACCGGCUAACUCU
Molecule: ribosomal RNA, 482 nt
Filed under: Pseudomonas sp. 'ARUP UnID 556'
Lineage: Bacteria; Pseudomonadati; Pseudomonadota; Gammaproteobacteria; Pseudomonadales; Pseudomonadaceae
Description: bacterial SSU rRNA
Rfam family: Bacterial small subunit ribosomal RNA
Source: RNAcentral